RNAcentral lists this transfer RNA (83 nucleotides) under Stomatobaculum sp. RNAcentral describes it as "tRNA-Leu". It matches the Rfam family "tRNA". Rfam says of the family: Transfer RNA (tRNA) molecules are approximately 80 nucleotides in length. Their secondary structure includes four short double-helical elements and three loops (D, anti-codon, and T loops). Lineage: Bacteria; Bacillati; Bacillota; Clostridia; Lachnospirales; Lachnospiraceae. The record is from RNAcentral.
GCCGGCAUGUCGGAAUGGCAGACGAUGCAGACUCAAAAUCUGUUGUCCGUGAGGACGUGCGGGUUCAAGUCCCGCUGCCGGCA